Long non-coding RNA from Amphibalanus amphitrite, 873 nucleotides. RefSeq lists it as uncharacterized. The transcript has 3 exons. Lineage: Eukaryota; Metazoa; Arthropoda; Thecostraca; Balanomorpha; Balanidae. The record is from RefSeq and is a predicted model, not a curated record.
GUUUUUCGGACGACAAAGAUUCUACGCCAUUCGGCCAAUCAUAUUCCAUAAUUGCAGCCGAGCCCCCGUUGAUCUAGAACGGGAUUGGCCGGACGACGUACAAUCUUCGUCGUCUGAGAGACAUCGAACGAGGGGUACAUCGACUGAACAUACAUUGCGAUUCAAUAUUCAUUAUUUUAUGACCGUGAUUGCAAUCCAAAUUUGCAUUUGAGCUCAGCAGUCGAGUGUGGUGCCAAAAAUGCCAGAAGCGAUGUCCUAUAUACGGCCUUGACCAGAAGUGUUGCAUGCCCUGGAUGCAGAACAAAAAGAUUGAGAUGAGUGGAUCAAGAUGUAUCUUUCGUGCAGAUGUAUCAAGAUCCUUUCACUUAAGAUCCAUGCAGACGCAAACUUUGGAUGAACUUCUGCUUCUGCGGUCGGCAUUCUUACAGGAGAACCCGAGAUUCAUUGUACCUACCUGUAUGCAUUUCAAAACUGAAUAAUUGAUAGCAACAAGUAAAUAUUUGAAGUUGCAGCCAAAUGCUGUGCCUUCUCUGCUGCAGGAGCUACAUGUCACCAUUGAAGCAAGGACCAGCUCGACUCCUGCAGUAGGAGUCCAGCCUCGUCCAGUCGUCGCCGCUCGCCAAGACCAGCCGGACUCCUGCAAUAGGGGUCCAGGCUGACCCGUUCGUCCAGUAACCGCCGCUCGUCAGCACCAGCUGGGCUCCUGUAGUAGGAGUCCAGCCUCGUCCAGUCGCCGCCGCUCGCCAAGACCAGCUGGGCUCCUGUAGUAUGGGGCUAGGAUGGCCCGUUCAUCAACCGGUCCUGAAGUCAUCGCCGUCAGCCAGUGUUUCAUUUUUCAGCCUUUUUGGUGGCAAAUCACACCUAAUGGGGAAA